CCAAAAACAAAAAUUCAUGGCUAAUUAUCCACCUGAUGUAAAGGACCCAAUCCAAAUUUAUGCCACUCUGGCAGAAGAAGAGGGUAUUUAACUGUGAGCAAUGCUGAAUGUGAAUGAAGUGUUAGGCUUAUGAAAAUUAGUGAGAAUUUAGGAGACUAAAGCUGUUUGAAGAUUUUAAAGAUGAUCAUAUCAAACAGCCAAGACACACCUGUUGGUGUUUCAACAAGGAUGCUUCAGAAAUGCUGUAUGAACAAAACCAGGAGGAUAAAUUUUCACAGGUGCAGCUGCCCAGGUGCUGACAGUGGGGCUACUGUGUGGCCGUUGAAUGAAGCGAUGCCAGGGCUGCCCCAUGCCGACCCCAAGGGCCCCACUGCAGGACACAGCCGGGCCCCUCACCCAAGAUGGCAGCGCCUCAGGAAAGCCAGAGGAAGGGAGGGCAAACACCGCACAGCAGGGGGCGGUGAGGGGAGCGGUGUGAGGAACGGCCCUGCACAGAUGGCAAAGAGAGGAGAGGGAGCAGCAAGAGUUGUCCUGGCUGUCAAGAUUUCCCUGAAGCUUGUGCAGAGACCAUGUUGGAGCAGGUAUUCAUGUUGCAGCCAUGAAGAACCCCACACUGGAGCAGAUCAGAGUUCUUCUCUGUUAGUACCAGUGAAGAAGAAAUAA
Molecule: long non-coding RNA, 663 nt
Filed under: Anas platyrhynchos platyrhynchos (common mallard)
Lineage: Eukaryota; Metazoa; Chordata; Aves; Anseriformes; Anatidae
Description: lncRNA (ENSAPLG00000029725.1)
Source: RNAcentral